AACGAACGCUGGCGGCAUGCCUAACACAUGCAAGUCGAACGAGACCUUCGGGUCUAGUGGCGCACGGGUGCGUAACGCGCGGGAUCCUGCCCCUAGGUUCGGAAUAACUCCCCGAAAGGGGUGCUAAUACCGGUUAAUGUCUUCGGACCAACGGUUUAUCGCCUUUGGAUGGGCUCGCGUUGGAUUAGCUAGUUGGUAGGGUAAAAGACUACCAAGGCGACGAUCCAUAGCCGGUCUGAGAGAAUGAUCAGCCACACUGGGACUGAGACACGGCCCAGACUCCUACGGGAGGCGGCAGUGGGGAAUGUUGGACAAUGGGCGAAAGCCUGAUCCAGCAAUGCCGAGUGAAUGGUGAAGGACUUAGGGUUGUAAAGCUCUUUUACCCGAGAUGAUAAUGACAGUACCGUGCGAAUAAGCUCCGGCUAACUCCGUG
This 433-nucleotide ribosomal RNA is filed under the name uncultured bacterium. RNAcentral describes it as "partial 16S ribosomal RNA". It matches the Rfam family "Bacterial small subunit ribosomal RNA", at positions 29 to 507 of the family's 1533-position model. The record is from RNAcentral.